RNAcentral lists this ribosomal RNA (921 nucleotides) under Pseudomonas sp. RNAcentral's name for it is "bacterial SSU rRNA". It matches the Rfam family "Bacterial small subunit ribosomal RNA", at positions 38 to 873 of the family's 1533-position model. The record is from RNAcentral. Lineage: Bacteria; Pseudomonadati; Pseudomonadota; Gammaproteobacteria; Pseudomonadales; Pseudomonadaceae.
GGGGGCAGACUACACAUGCGAGUCGCAGCGGUAGAGAGGUGCUUGCACCUCUUGAGAGCGGCGGCACGGGUGAGUAAUGCCUAGGAAUCUGCCUGGUAGUGGGGGAUAACGCUCGGAAACGGACGCUAAUACCGCAUACGUCCUACGGGAGAAAGCAGGGGACCUUCGGGCCUUGCGCUAUCAGAUGAGCCUAGGUCGGAUUAGCUAGUUGGUGGGGUAAUGGCUCACCAAGGCGACGAUCCGUAACUGGUCUGAGAGGAUGAUCAGUCACACUGGAACUGAGACACGGUCCAGACUCCUACGGGAGGCAGCAGUGGGGAAUAUUGGACAAUGGGCGAAAGCCUGAUCCAGCCAUGCCGCGUGUGUGAAGAAGGUCUUCGGAUUGUAAAGCACUUUAAGUUGGGAGGAAGGGCAUUAACCUAAUACGUUAGUGUUUUGACGUUACCGACAGAAUAAGCACCGGCUAACUCUGUGCCAGCAGCCGCGGUAAUACAGAGGGUGCAAGCGUUAAUCGGAAUUACUGGGCGUAAAGCGCGCGUAGGUGGUUCGUUAAGUUGGAUGUGAAAGCCCCGGGCUCAACCUGGGAACUGCAUUCAAAACUGUCGAGCUAGAGUAUGGUAGAGGGUGGUGGAAUUUCCUGUGUAGCGCGCGAAAAUGCGUAGAUAUAGGAAGGAAACACCAGUGGCGAAGGCGACCACCUGGACUGAUACUGACACUGAGGUGCGAAAGCGUGGGGGAGCAAACAGGAUUAGAUAACCCUGGUAGUCCACGCCGUAAACGAUGAUCAACUAGACGGUUGCGGAGCCUUGAGCUGCUUAUUGGCCGCAGCUAACGCAUUUAAUUUUGACCGCCAUGGGGUGAGAAACAGCCGGCCAGCGAUUGAAAACUCCCAAUGAAUUUUGACUCGAGCGGCGUCGUCUC